GGAAACCUGCGUACUUUUGGCUUUAUAUAGUCAAAAGUUCAGGCCGGCAGUCUCACUGUUUCAGGGGUUGCUUCAGAGAACGUGGAUCUUCUCUCAGUUCCCGCCCGUCAGAUAUUGAGUUGAAACUGAAGUUAACUGGUUCCCAGAUUUCUUUGUUUAGGCAUCACAAAUCACCCUAAAAAUGGUGCAUCGAGAAACGCCCUCCUCUACAGCGCAAGUUAUAUGCACAUUUUGCGUCCUCUUGCUGAUUUGUGAGGUUUCCAGGGCUGACUUCGGGAGAAAGUCCGAGGAAAUCGCAAGGAAUAUCUGCCUUUUGAACUGCGCUCAGUGUGCGAAAGCCUUGGGGAAAUACUUCAUGCCACAACCAUGCGCUGAAUACUGCGUCAGCUUCCCGUUCAUCGAGAAUAAAUUCGACUGUUACAAACUCUCUUCCGUUGGCAGAUACCUUCGGCGUCUCCUUGUUUUCUGAUCCGAUCAGGAGGACAGCGGUAAUAACUCAUCGGCUCUGACCUCUGACGAUUAGAAGACGAAUUUUUAUCACUCAUCUACUUUGUAUUUAUAGCAUCACCCGAUUAGAAUGAUUGGAUUGGAGUCAGACACAACAAUAAAAAGACUAUAGAUGGUGGCCUAUGAGGAUUGAGGAAGCGUAUCUAAGAUGGACAGGUCGUUCUCUAGUGAAAGUGAAAAGGCGAAUUUUUGCGAUAAGAUUUGGUUUUUACUUCAGUGAGGCGUUUUUCAUCUUUGGUUUGCAACCCUGGUUGAAAUAGUCGAUCAAAUCAACUCGCGGAAAUUCACCUAAAAACCUUUUGUCAUCGGUAGAUGUGUGUGAUGCGCUCCUCCAAUAACAGCUCAAGAGACACAUAAAGGAGGAGCCCCUUCAUUCCAUCGUAUAUGAAAUACGCACAACCUUCGAGCCAGAAACAAUCUCAUAGAAUGCAUAAAACACCAAGAUUUCGUGAGGAGUCAGCUAAAUAUUACAGUUUAAUUAUAGGAGCUUACGUUUUGUCAGGUCAUUAGACUGAUUAAAUAUUGAUUUUCUAAAAGACGUAAAUUUUUCAAAUGACAUGAAAAGGGUUUAUGAAAAAACCAGUCAUUAAUGCUUAGGCUCUAAAUAAUUCUGUGAGGCCUAAGAAAAUUUUGAAUUUGCAUCGAUAAAAUCACACCUUAUAAGGUGGCUGAAACUCUCCCACUUUUGAGUUUCGGUCUCACUCAAGGAAGAGAGAGGGGAAGAAGGAGGAAGAGGGGGUGGAUAGGAGUGGACGAAAGAGGGGAGAGAGACAAAAGUUCGUAUUACAGCCCAUGUAUCAAAGACAUUCUGUCUCAUCGAAGAUUUACUCUUUUUUCAAAUUGUACGAUUACCAAAAAGUUUAGUUUUGCUAACACGUGACUCAUUUUUUAUGCGAGUGGUUCAGUUCAGAGUUUAAUGUUCGGUUAUAACAUUUACCUUUUUAAAUUAACAUGAUACGCAUUAAUUAGAUCUGCUCUGUAUUUUUAGGGCAUAGUUCUAACGGGUUUAAAAAAAAGGGGGAAAAAAAGGUUUUGAUGAAAUAAGGGUACUAACCUUGUUUUUUGUGGACGCCAUGAUACCGCACAGGAAAGUUAUGUGAGAUCACAUUUGACCAGGUCUAGAGGAAAAUUUUAACGAAGUGUUCGAAAAUGAUUGAAAUAAUGUACACAUGAAUCGAUUAUUCCCUAAAAAGAAACCAUACAGUAUUUUAACCAGUAAUUUAGAAGAUAAAAUAUAGUUUUGUUGCUUCUGAGUAUGUAUAUAAUUAUAUGUAUAUUUUUUUAAGCUUCCAGUAAGUAUUAAUAAUUACAUUUAUUUUUAUAAUCUUAUAAGUAAGGCAUGAAUUAUUGUUGUAUUCCAGAAGUUUAUUUGAAAGAUUGGUGAAAAAUUGCAUUUACAGAACUCUUAAAUUGUAUUGACACUAGGGAUAAAAGUAAUUACUACAAUAAUACUGAUGGCUAAUGCGCGGAUGGUAAAACUCCCAAACCACGUAUCUCGUUUGCGGUGUUUUAAGAUCUCUGAUUCAAUUUUUUUGAGAGAAAACGAAUCAACAUCAUUCCGUGAAGUUUUCACAGGAUUAUUAUGCAUAUAGGAAAGACAGACAUGGUAGUUUUAAUAAAGAGUCAAUGUCGAGAAAUCUAAUUAGUUUGAUUAUCGAUGUGCCAUGUACUUAAAGGUAUAUUUUUGUAAAAUUCAUUUCAAUUAUUUCAUUGUUAAUCUCAAAUUACAGAAAAAUCACGGUAAAGCUUUAUUCAUGUAUAUUUUGAGCUAUAUUAAGGUAUAGUUGGGUAGAAAAUUAAGAACAAGUGAAACGAAUUUUUUUGCGACCAAGGAAUGAUGCCGCUUGGACGAAAAUGUUUUUCCAUAAUUUUGUUUUGAUGUUGGUUAAAAAAUUAGAAAGUUGUACCUUACACGACUUCUCUAUUAACGAUUAACAGUUGUCCAUUUUUUUUUCACUAAACGCUCUUGAAUUUGUAAAUAAACAUCGUUACUUACUC
This is a long non-coding RNA of Bemisia tabaci, 2505 nucleotides long. RefSeq lists it as uncharacterized. NCBI's taxonomy places the organism in Eukaryota, Metazoa, Arthropoda, Insecta, Hemiptera, Aleyrodidae. The record is from RefSeq and is a predicted model, not a curated record.